RNAcentral lists this ribosomal RNA (1748 nucleotides) under Macalpinomyces australiensis. RNAcentral describes it as "eukaryotic LSU rRNA". It matches the Rfam family "Eukaryotic large subunit ribosomal RNA", at positions 94 to 1401 of the family's 3401-position model. The record is from RNAcentral. Lineage: Eukaryota; Fungi; Basidiomycota; Ustilaginomycetes; Ustilaginales; Ustilaginaceae.
UGAAGAGGGAAGAGCCCAAGAUUGAAAGCUGGCGUCUUCGGCGUCCGCAUUGUAAUCUCAAGAAGUGUUUUCCGCUUCGGACCAAGCCUAAGUCCCUUGGAAAAGGGCAUCAUAGAGGGUGAUAAUCCCGUACAUGGCUUGGAGCGCCCGAGGCUUUGUGAUACGCUUUCUAAGAGUCGAGUUGUUUGGGAAUGCAGCUCAAAAUGGGUGGUAAAUGCCAUCUAAGGCUAAAUAUUGGGGAGAGACCGAUAGCGAACAAGUACAGUGAUGGAAAGAUGAAAAGAACUUUGAAAAGAGAGUUAAACAGUACGUGAAAUUGCCAAAAGGGAAGGGUAGGAGGUCAGAGAUGCGGUCUGGGAUUCAGCCUUGCUUUUGCUUGGUGUUUUUCCCAGAUGGCAGGCCAACGCCGGUUUUGGGCACUGGAGAAGGGUAGGAGGAACGUGGCACCUCUCGGGGUGUGUUAUAGCCUCCUACUGGAUACAGCGACCGAGACCGAGGAACGCAGCGUACUCGCAAGAGCGGGCCCUCGGGCACCUUUACGCUUAGGGCGUUGGCAUAAUGGCCCUCUACCACCCGUCUUGAAACACGGACCAAGGAGUCUAACAUGUAUGCGAGUCUUUGGGUGGCAAACCCAUAGGSGCAAUGAAAGUGAAUUCAGGUGGGAUCCGCAAGGUGCACCAUCGACCGAUCCUCACGUCUUUUAAGUCGUGGAUUUGAGUAAGAGCAUCCCUGUUGGGACCCGAAAGAUGGUGAACUAUGCCUGAAUAGGGUGAAGCCAGAGAAACUCUGGUGGAGGCUCGUAGCGGUUCUGACGUGCAAAUCGAUCGUCAAAUUUGGGUAUAGGGGCGAAAGACUAAUCGACCCAUUAUAGAAAUGAUAUUGCUAGGUGGUUAAGAGGUGGCAUGAAAGUGCGCACCUAGUGAACGCUGAAGUUCGCGACACUGUCAAAAUGCGGGGACACCCUAAAGCUUUCAAUACCAAGCCGGCGUGGAAACACAGCCGGUGGCCGAGCUAAUAGCCCUGGGUAUGGUAAAAACUUGAAAGAUGUAACAAUGGGCAAUCCGCAGCCAAGCUCUAAGGGUUUCCGAGAGGAGAUCUAUGAGUGCAGUUCACAGACUAGAUGGCAGUGGGUUCCUCCUCGAAAGAGAGAGAAGAGGGGCUUAAGAUAUAGUCGGUCCUUCCGCGAAAGCGGACCGGGGGAUGAAAGAUGGAGAUCCUUCAGCGAUAGAUCUCUUUCCGGAGCCUCUGGGAGUCGUGCGUGCCUGUGUGUGCGGGCGACUUUGGGUGCUACGCUAGUAGCUGGUUCCUGCCGAAGUUUCCCUCAGGAUAGCAGAAACUCACAUCAGUUUUAUGAGGUAAAGCGAAUGAUUAGAGGCCUUGGGGAAGUAACUUCCUUAACCUAUUCUCAAACUUUAAAUGUGUAAGAAGCCAUUGUUACUUAAGUGAACGAGGGCAUGCGAAUGAGAGUUUCUAGUGGGCCAUUUUUGGUAAGCAGAACUGGCGAUGCGGGAUGAACCGAACGUUGGGUUAAGGUGCCAAAGUAUACGCUCAUCAGAUACCAGAAAAGGUGUUAUUUAGUCUAGACAGUGGGACGGUGGCCAUGGAAGUCGGAAACCGCUAAGGAGUGUGUAACAACUCACCCACCGAAUUAAGUAGCCCUGAAAAUGGAUGGCGCUCAAGCGUAUCACCGAUACCCAACCGUCAGUGUUUAGCGAAGCGCUGACGAGUAGGCAGGCGUGGGGGUUCGU